AUUGAACGCUGGCGGCAUGCUUUACACAUGCAAGUCGAACGGCAGCGCGGGCUUCGGCCUGGCGGCGAGUGGCGAACGGGUGAGUAAUACAUCGGAACGUGCCCAGUAGUGGGGGAUAGCUCGGCGAAAGCCGGAUUAAUACCGCAUACGACCUGAGGGUGAAAGCGGGGGAUCUUCGGACCUCGCGCUAUUGGAGCGGCCGAUGGCAGAUUAGCCAGUUGGUGGGGUAAAGGCCUACCAAGGCGACGAUCUGUAGCUGGUCUGAGAGGACGACCAGCCACACUGGGACUGAGACACGGCCCAGACUCCUACGGGAGGCAGCAGUGGGGAAUUUUGGACAAAGGGCGAAAGCCUGAUCCAGCAAUGCCGCGUGUGUGAUGAAGGCCUUCGGGUUGUAAAGCACUUUUGGCGGGAACGAAAAGGACUGUGCCAAUACCACGGUUCGAUGACGGUACCCGCAGAAUAAGCACCGGCUAACUACGUG
Molecule: ribosomal RNA, 484 nt
Filed under: uncultured bacterium
Lineage: Bacteria
Description: partial 16S ribosomal RNA
Rfam family: Bacterial small subunit ribosomal RNA
Source: RNAcentral